This 424-nucleotide ribosomal RNA is filed under the name uncultured Eubacterium sp. RNAcentral describes it as "bacterial SSU rRNA". It matches the Rfam family "Bacterial small subunit ribosomal RNA", at positions 355 to 794 of the family's 1533-position model. Lineage: Bacteria; Bacillati; Bacillota; Clostridia; Eubacteriales; Eubacteriaceae. The record is from RNAcentral.
UGGGGAAUAUUGCACAAUGGGCGAAAGCCUGAUGCAGCAACGCCGCGUGAGGGAAGACGGUUUUCGGAUUGUAAACCUCUGUUUUCGGUGACGAACAAAUGACGGUAACCGAGUAGGAAGCCACGGCUAACUACGUGCCAGCAGCCGCGGUAAUACGUAGGUGGCAAGCGUUAUCCGGAAUUACUGGGUGUAAAGGGAGCGCAGGCGGGAUAGCAAGUCAGCUGUGAAAACUAUGGGCUCAACCCAUAAACUGCAGUUGAAACUGUUAUUCUUGAGUGGAGUAGAGGCAAGCGGAAUUCCGAGUGUAGCGGUGAAAUGCAUAGAUAUCACGCAGAACUCCGAUUGCGAAGGCAGCAUACCGGCGCUCAACUGACGCUGAGGCACGAAAGCGUGGGGAUCAAACAGGAUUAGAUACCCUGGUAGU